RNAcentral lists this ribosomal RNA (484 nucleotides) under uncultured bacterium. Its description in RNAcentral is "partial 16S ribosomal RNA". It matches the Rfam family "Bacterial small subunit ribosomal RNA", at positions 28 to 523 of the family's 1533-position model. The record is from RNAcentral.
GACGAACGCUGGCGGCGUGCUUAACACAUGCAAGUCGAACGAUGAAGCUAGAGCUUGCUCUGGUGGAUUAGUGGCGAACGGGUGAGUAACACGUGAGUAACCUGCCCCGAACUCUGGGAUAACUGCUGGAAACGGUAGCUAAUACCGGAUAUGACCAAUGAAGGCAUCUUCUGUUGGUGGAAAGAAUUUCGGUUCGGGAUGGACUCGCGGCCUAUCAGCUUGUUGGUGAGGUAACGGCUCACCAAGGCGACGACGGGUAGCCGGCCUGAGAGGGGGAUCGGGCACACUGGGACUGAGACACGGCCCAGACUCCUACGGGGGGGAGCAGUGGGGAAUAUUGCACAAUGGGCGCAAGCCUGAUGCAGCAACGCCGCGUGAGGGAGGACGGCCUUCGGGUUGUAAACCUCUUUUAGUAGGGAAGAAGCGAAAGUGACGGUACCUGCAGAAAAAGCACCGGCUAACUACGUGCCAGCCGCCGCCGUAA